CAGUCGCCACGGUAAUUCGUAGGUGGCAAGCGUUGUCCGGAAUUAUUGGGCGUAAAGGGCUCGCAGGCGGUUUCUUAAGUCUGAUGUGAAAGCCCCCGGCUCAACCGGGGAGGGUCAUUGGAAACUGGGAAACUUGAGUGCAGAAGAGGAGAGUGGAAUUCCACGUGUAGCGGUGAAAUGCGUGGAGAUGUGGAGGAACACCAGUGGCGAAGGCGACUCUCUGGUCUGUAACUGACGCUGAGGAGCGAAAGCGUGGGGAGCGAACAGGAUUAGAUACCCCUGUAGUCCCUGUCUCUUAUAC
Molecule: ribosomal RNA, 301 nt
Filed under: uncultured bacterium
Lineage: Bacteria
Description: partial 16S ribosomal RNA
Rfam family: Bacterial small subunit ribosomal RNA
Source: RNAcentral